CGAAUGAAGAGAUUCAUCGUCAGCGUAUUCAGUAUUAAUGCAGGCUAUGAUGUGAUGAUAGAAUCCUUGUGGUCACUAGAUUAUACUUGCUUGUAUUAUUUUUGCUGGGUAGGUCGGCGUGCACUUCUCUUCUAGUAGACCGUCGCAACCCGUUGGAUGUUUAUUUAUGGCCUAAAUGGUAGCCUCUGAUAUUUUAAAAUAUCGAAGACCUUUGGUGUCCUGAUAAGCUGUCUGACGGUAAACAUAUAGUAUUGAGCCGCAAUUAUUUGCGUUAGACUUACCGCAAGUAAGAUUUUAGUCUAGUAGUGCAGAUCUAAUGCUGUCGCUGGGCAAAGUCUACUGUUAGCUGUGUAA
This 354-nucleotide ribosomal RNA is filed under the name Diolcogaster sp. HD-019. RNAcentral's name for it is "partial 28S ribosomal RNA". The record is from RNAcentral. Lineage: Eukaryota; Metazoa; Arthropoda; Insecta; Hymenoptera; Braconidae.